Molecule: ribosomal RNA, 253 nt
Filed under: uncultured bacterium
Lineage: Bacteria
Description: partial 16S ribosomal RNA
Rfam family: Bacterial small subunit ribosomal RNA
Source: RNAcentral
UACGGAGGGUGCGAGCGUUGUCCGGAAUCACUGGGCGUAAAGGGCGCGUAGGCGGCCUGAUAAGUAGGGGGUGAAAUCCUGCGGCUUAACCGCAGGGCUGCCUUCUAAACUGUCAGGCUCGAGCACAGUAGAGGCAGGUGGAAUUCCCGGUGUAGCGGUGGAAUGCGUAGAGAUCGGGAAGAACACCAGUGGCGAAGGCGGCUCGCUGGGCUUUACCUGACGCUGAGGCGCGAAAGCGUGGGGAGCGAACCGG